CACGUAUGGGGCGAGCGUUGUUCGGAAUUAUUGGGCGUAAAGGGUAUGCAGGCGGUUUGACAAGUCUGGUGUGUAAGACUUCAGCUUAACUGAAGGAACGCGCCGGAAACUGUCAGGCUAGAGUACAGGAAGGGGAGUUGGAAUUCCAGGUGUAGGGGUGAAAUCUGUAGAUAUCUGGAAGAACAUCAGUGGCGAAGGCGAACUCCUGGCCAUGUACUGACGCUGAGAUACGAAAGCGUGGGGAG
This 245-nucleotide ribosomal RNA is filed under the name uncultured bacterium. RNAcentral describes it as "partial 16S ribosomal RNA". It matches the Rfam family "Bacterial small subunit ribosomal RNA", at positions 524 to 768 of the family's 1533-position model. The record is from RNAcentral.